AUACCUUUCUCUGCCUUUUGGCUAAGAUCAAGUGUAGUAUCUGUUCUUAUCAAGUGUAGUAUCUGUUCUUAUCAGUUUAAUAUCUGAUAUGUGGGCCAUGUGCCCACUUCGAUAUUAAAUCUAUUUUUUGUGGGGGAGGGCCCACCACAGUGGCUUGCCACUGGGGCCCUCACGCGUCGCCCAGGCGUUGCACUGCUGCCCGGGCCUGGCGCACCCCAA
Molecule: small nuclear RNA, 219 nt
Filed under: Oryza longistaminata (longstamen rice)
Lineage: Eukaryota; Viridiplantae; Streptophyta; Magnoliopsida; Poales; Poaceae
Description: snRNA U2
Rfam family: U2 spliceosomal RNA
About the family: U2 is a small nuclear RNA (snRNA) component of the spliceosome (involved in pre-mRNA splicing). Complementary binding between U2 snRNA (in an area lying towards the 5' end but 3' to hairpin I) and the branchpoint sequence (BPS) of the intron results the bulging out of an unpaired adenosine, on the BPS, which initiates a nucleophilic attack at the intronic 5' splice site, thus starting the first of two transesterification reactions that mediate splicing.
Source: RNAcentral